This 428-nucleotide ribosomal RNA is filed under the name uncultured bacterium. RNAcentral describes it as "partial 16S ribosomal RNA". It matches the Rfam family "Bacterial small subunit ribosomal RNA", at positions 354 to 796 of the family's 1533-position model. The record is from RNAcentral.
GUGGGGAAUAUUAGGCAAUGGGCGAAAGCCUGACCUAGCAACGCCGCGUGAAGGAAGAAGGCCUUCGGGUUGUAAACUUCUUUUAUGAGGGACGAAGGACGUGACGGUACCUCAUGAAUAAGCCACGGCUAACUACGUGCCAGCAGCCGCGGUAAUACGUAGGUGGCGAGCGUUGUCCGGAUUUACUGGGUGUAAAGGGCGCGUAGGCGGACUGGCAAGUCAGAUGUGAAAUACAGGGGCUCAACCCCUGAACUGCAUUUGAAACUGGUGGUCUUGAGUAUCGGAGAGGCAAGCGGAAUUCCUAGGGUAGCGGUGAAAUGCGUAGAUAUUAGGAGGAACACCAGUGGCGAAGGCGGCUUGCUGGACGACAACUGACGCUGAGGCGCGAAAGCGUGGGGAGCAAACAGGAUUAGAAACUCGGGUAGUCC